AGAGUUUGAUCCUGGCUCAGGAUGAACGCUGGCGGCAUGCCUAAUACAUGCAAGUCGAACGAAGUCUUUAGAAAGCUUGCUUUUAAAAAGACUUAGUGGCGAACGGGUGAGUAACACGUAGGGAACCUGCCCAUGUACCCGGGAUAACAGAUGGAAACGUCUGCUAAAACCGGAUAGGUAUAGACAAGGCAUCUUGACUAUAUUAAAGGACCUUCGGGUGUGGACAUGGAUGGACCUGCGGCGUAUUAGCCAGUUGGCGGGGUAACGGCCCACCAAAGCGAUGAUACGUAGCCGGCCUGAGAGGGUAGACGGCCACAUUGGGACUGAGACACGGCCCAAACUCCUACGGGAGGCAGCAGUAGGGAAUUUUCGUCAAUGGGGGGAACCCUGAACGAGCAAUGCCGCGUGAGUGAAGAAGGCCUUCGGGUCGUAAAGCUCUGUUGUAAGAGAAAAACGGUAAUGAUAGGGAAUGAUCAUUAAGUGAUGGUAUCUUACGAGGAAGCCACGGCUAACUACGUGCCAGCAGCCGCGGUAAUACGUAGGUGGCAAGCGUUAUCCGGAAUGAUUGGGCGUAAAGGGUGCGCAGGCGGAUGUAUAAGUCUGAAGUAAAAGCCAUCGGCUCAACCGAUGUAAGCUUUGGAAACUGUAGAUCUAGAGUGCAGGAGAGGACAGUGGAAUUCCAUGUGUAGCGGUAAAAUGCGUAGAUAUAUGGAGGAACACCAGUGGCGAAGGCGGCUGUCUGGCCUGUAACUGACGCUGAGGCACGAAAGCGUGGGGAGCAAAUAGGAUUAGAUACCCUAGUAGUCCACGCUGUAAACGAUGAGAACUAAGUGUUGGAGAGAUUCAGUGCUGCAGUUAACGCAAUAAGUUCUCCGCCUGGGGAGUAUGCACGCAAGUGUGAAACUCAAAGGAAUUGACGGGGGCCCGCACAAGCGGUGGAGUAUGUGGUUUAAUUCGAAGCAACGCGAAGAACCUUACCAGGCCUUGACAUGGCGUUAAAUGCCCUAGAGAUAGGGAGAUAGAAAUAAUGCACACAGGUGGUGCAUGGUUGUCGUCAGCUCGUGUCGUGAGAUGUUGGGUUAAGUCCCGCAACGAGCGCAACCCUUGUCGCAUGUUACCAGCAGUAAGAUGGGGACUCAUGCGAGACUGCCGGUGAUAAACCGGAGGAAGGCGGGGAUGACGUCAAAUCAUCAUGCCCCUUAUGGCCUGGGCGACACACGUACUACAAUGGCGACUACAGAGGGAAGCGAGACAGUGAUGUUAAGCGGACCCCAAAAAGGUCGUCCCAGUUCGGAUUGAAGUCUGCAACUCGACUUCAUGAAGCCGGAAUCGCUAGUAAUCGCAGAUCAGCAUGCUGCGGUGAAUACGUUCUCGGGCCUUGUACACACCGCCCGUCAAACCAUGGGAGUCGGUAAUGCCCGAAGCCGGUGGCAUAACCUAGAAAUAGGAGUGAGCCGUCGAAGGCAGGACUGAUGACUGGGGUUAAGUCGUAACAAGGUAACCAG
Molecule: ribosomal RNA, 1505 nt
Filed under: uncultured bacterium
Lineage: Bacteria
Description: partial 16S rRNA
Rfam family: Bacterial small subunit ribosomal RNA
Source: RNAcentral